GACGGAGGGGGCUAGCGUUGUUCGGAAUUAUUGGGCGUAAAGGGCGCGUAGGCGGCUUGGCAAGUGGAAGGUGAAAUCCCUCGGCUUAACCGAGGAACUGCCUUCCAGACUGCUUUGCUUGAGGCCGGGAGAGGCGAGUGGAAUUCCCAGUGUAGCGGUGAAAUGCGUAGAUAUUGGGAGGAACACCAGUGGCGAAGGCGGCUCGCUGGACCGGUUCUGACGCUGAGGCGCGAAAGCGUGGGGAGCAAACGGG
Molecule: ribosomal RNA, 253 nt
Filed under: uncultured bacterium
Lineage: Bacteria
Description: partial 16S ribosomal RNA
Rfam family: Bacterial small subunit ribosomal RNA
Source: RNAcentral